UUUGCCAUGGCGGAUCCGCUGGCCGCCGGGAACGCCACCGACGGGGACGCCGUGAGGGCGGGUUUCUCGGUGCGACGGAAGUCUGACGCCGGCUGGUGCAGCGAGUGGAGGCCUCCGGAGGCUUCUGCUCCGACGCUAAGGCUAGCGGGUCAUGUCCUACUCUUUCGUCAGGUUCAGGUAACCAAUAGUUGAUCUGGUAAUUUGUUGGUCAACGUUGUUUGAUUGAUCUACACAACCUUGAGAUGUGCGACAGGCGGGACAAGCGCGAGCGGCCGUGGGACAUGGACUCAAGCCAACACAGGUUCAUGGCGGAGCAGCUCACCUGCUGGUCUCCACUUCGUAGUCGGCAGCAGCUGCCUCACCAAUUGAUGUAGAUCCAUUUUUUACACACAGACCUCAAUAAAAGUUGGGGAUCAAGAAAUUGAUCGCUUCGAAGUACUGAGCAUGCCUAUUCUUUCUUAUGCAUGAGGGUAUGAAAC
Molecule: long non-coding RNA, 479 nt
Filed under: Triticum aestivum (bread wheat)
Lineage: Eukaryota; Viridiplantae; Streptophyta; Magnoliopsida; Poales; Poaceae
Description: long non-coding RNA (TAES_LNC017888)
Source: RNAcentral